AUGGGAACGCGAAGAACCUUACCUACUCUUGACAUCCAGAGAACUUAGCAGAGAUGCUUUGGUGCCUUCGGGAACUCUGAGACAGGUGCUGCAUGGCUGUCGUCAGCUCGUGUUGUGAAAUGUUGGGUUAAGUCCCGCAACGAGCGCAACCCUUAUCCUUUGUUGCCAGCGAUUCGGUCGGGAACUCAAAGGAGACUGCCAGUGAUAAACUGGAGGAAGGUGGGGAUGACGUCAAGUCAUCAUGGCCCUUACGAGUAGGGCUACACACGUGCUACAAUGGCGCAUACAAAGAGAAGCGACCUCGCGAGAGCAAGCGGACCUCAUAAACGUGCGUCGUAGUCCGGAUUGGAGUCUGCAACUCGACUCCAUGAAGUCGGAAUCGCUAGUAAUCGUAGAUCAGAAUGCUACGG
This 410-nucleotide ribosomal RNA is filed under the name uncultured bacterium. RNAcentral's name for it is "bacterial SSU rRNA". It matches the Rfam family "Bacterial small subunit ribosomal RNA", at positions 954 to 1362 of the family's 1533-position model. The record is from RNAcentral.